This 253-nucleotide ribosomal RNA is filed under the name uncultured bacterium. Its description in RNAcentral is "partial 16S ribosomal RNA". It matches the Rfam family "Bacterial small subunit ribosomal RNA", at positions 524 to 776 of the family's 1533-position model. The record is from RNAcentral.
UACGUAGGGGGCAAGCGUUAUCCGGAUUUACUGGGUGUAAAGGGAGCGUAGGCGGCGAUGCAAGUCAGAAGUGAAAGCCCGGGGCUCAACUCCGGGACUGCUUUUGAAACUGUGUUGCUAGAUUGCAGGAGAGGUAAGUGGAAUUCCUAGUGUAGCGGUGAAAUGCGUAGAUAUUAGGAGGAACACCAGUGGCGAAGGCGGCUUACUGGACUGUAAAUGACGCUGAGGCUCGAAAGCGUGGGGAGCGAACAGG